Molecule: ribosomal RNA, 1446 nt
Filed under: uncultured organism
Description: SSU rRNA
Rfam family: Bacterial small subunit ribosomal RNA
Source: RNAcentral
AACGCUAGCUACAGGCUUAACACAUGCAAGUCGAGGGGCAGCAUUUCAGUUUGCUUGCAAACUGGAGAUGGCGACCGGCGCACGGGUGAGUAACACGUAUCCAACCUGCCGAUAACUCGGGGAUAGCCUUUCGAAAGAAAGAUUAAUACCCGAUGGCAUAAUUAGACCGCAUGGUCUUAUUAUUAAAGAAUUUCGGUUAUCGAUGGGGAUGCGUUCCAUUAGGCAGUUGGUGAGGUAACGGCUCACCAAACCUUCGAUGGAUAGGGGUUCUGAGAGGAAGGUCCCCCACAUUGGAACUGAGACACGGUCCAAACUCCUACGGGAGGCAGCAGUGAGGAAUAUUGGUCAAUGGGCGCAGGCCUGAACCAGCCAAGUAGCGUGAAGGAUGACUGCCCUAUGGGUUGUAAACUUCUUUUAUAUGGGAAUAAAGUUUUCCACGUGUGGAAUUUUGUAUGUACCAUAUGAAUAAGGAUCGGCUAACUCCGUGCCAGCAGCCGCGGUAAUACGGAGGAUCCGAGCGUUAUCCGGAUUUAUUGGGUUUAAAGGGAGCGUAGGUGGACAGUUAAGUCAGUUGUGAAAGUUUGCGGCUCAACCGUAAAAUUGCAGUUGAUACUGGCUGUCUUGAGUACAGUAGAGGUGGGCGGAAUUCGUGGUGUAGCGGUGAAAUGCUUAGAUAUCACGAAGAACUCCGAUUGCGAAGGCAGCUCACUGGACUGCAACUGACACUGAUGCUCGAAAGUGUGGGUAUCAAACAGGAUUAGAUACCCUGGUAGUCCACACAGUAAACGAUGAAUACUCGCUGUUUGCGAUAUACAGUAAGCGGCCAAGCGAAAGCAUUAAGUAUUCCACCUGGGGAGUACGCCGGCAACGGUGAAACUCAAAGGAAUUGACGGGGGCCCGCACAAGCGGAGGAACAUGUGGUUUAAUUCGAUGAUACGCGAGGAACCUUACCCGGGCUUAAAUUGCAUUUGAAUAUAUUGGAAACAGUAUAGCCGUAAGGCAAAUGUGAAGGUGCUGCAUGGUUGUCGUCAGCUCGUGCCGUGAGGUGUCGGCUUAAGUGCCAUAACGAGCGCAACCCUUAUCUUUAGUUACUAACAGGUCAUGCUGAGGACUCUAGAGAGACUGCCGUCGUAAGAUGUGAGGAAGGUGGGGAUGACGUCAAAUCAGCACGGCCCUUACGUCCGGGGCUACACACGUGUUACAAUGGGGGGUACAGAAGGCAGCUACCUGGUGACAGGAUGCUAAUCCCAAAAGCCUCUCUCAGUUCGGAUCGAAGUCUGCAACCCGACUUCGUGAAGCUGGAUUCGCUAGUAAUCGCGCAUCAGCCAUGGCGCGGUGAAUACGUUCCCGGGCCUUGUACACACCGCCCGUCAAGCCAUGAAAGCCGGGGGUACCUGAAGUACGUAACCGCAAGGAGCGUCCUAGGGUAAAACUGGUAAUUGGGGC